UAGGACACCGCGGCUAAGCGCUAACCCCGCUAACUUUGUAUAGCCCUCCGUGACUUCACCCCUCCUUUCCAGUUGACUUCAGGUGCAGUCAUUUGCAGAAUAAAUGGUUGUGUCAUUGCUGAGAGAGAGAGAGAGAGAGGUCAGUUAGAUUUCAAGUAUCUUCUGAUGAACAGAGGCUGGAGCUGUGGUCGGAGACUGGAGCAGCUCCCGGCUGUUCCCCAAAGGUAUGCAACUUCUACAGAGCAGCGACACAGGGCAGCGACUCAGGGCAGAGCUUGAGUAUGCAGCCAAAGCAAAGCACCGAUAACACUGCCUACAACAAGUCUGAUUGGUGUUGGAGGUACAACAUGUUCAGUGGCUACUUUUGAUGUGCUGUCACUGUGGAAGACAUCGAGUUGAAAUAAAAUGGGGUUAUGACUUAAUACUUCCAGGAUGUGAUCUCAUAACCUUUCUGAACAGUGCAAACCCCCGACAUAGAGAGAUCCAAUAUCUUAGAAUCCUUCAGGAAUUCCAGCCUCAUGUGGAUGAAGUGUUCAGCAUUCAACCCGUUCAAACAAGGUCCUAUAUCACACAUGCAAGGUCCAAUAUUAGACCUUGUCUUUUUGUCUGCCACGUAAAUAUGUUUUGAUAUAGAUUUUCUUCAUUUCAUACAGCACCUCUAAGUGUAGAAUUUGACACUUUCACACUAAGCCUUGUUCACCCUACCUGUCAACUUCUGACAAAUGGCUUCCUUUGCUGUCUAUACAUGUCGCUAUGGCCAGGUGAGCCGCAUCAUGAGAGGGACAACAGCCAUUACUUCGGAGAACAUACAUAUUCUCCAGCAUCUGCCUCAAACAGAAUCCACUUGCAAAUCCCAGGAUGCAUCUCUCCUGGAUUUCAGGCCAUGACAUUUCACCUAACACAAUGUCCACCCGGCUCGGAGACUUGAAAAAUGCAUCUCCAGAGAUUCGCAUUUAUUUCAUCCCAGAUUUGCAAGGUGAAUUCUAAAUGGGUAUUUUUAUACUUUCACACUUUCUGGUGUUUCAGAGUGUACAUUUGUUUUGCCGAGUUAAGUCAUUUUCUGGUGUUCAUAUAUAUAUAUUUUUAAAUUGAAACUUUAUUUAACUAGGCAAGUCAGUUAAGAACAAAUUCUUAUUUACAAUGACGGCCUACCCGGACAAUGCUGGGCCAAUUGUGCCCUAUGCGACUCCCAAUCAUGCCCAGAUGUGAUUCAGCUUGGAUAUGAACCAGGGACUGUAGUGUUACCUCUUGCACUGAUAUGCAGUGCCUUAGACCGCUCCGCCACUCAGGAGCCCUAAGCUAGCAUGUUGGCAAUCACAGACCAAGUGUGUAAACAGAAAUGGUAUAUUUUCUAUUGUUCAAAUAUCCCUUACUUUUUUCUCCAAUGAAUUAAUUAUUCCAGUCAUGACUGAAUAGCAUUUUGGAUUGCAGUUGUAGGGAUUUACUUGCAUGU
Oncorhynchus keta (chum salmon) is the source of this 1453-nucleotide long non-coding RNA. RefSeq lists it as uncharacterized. The record is from RefSeq and is a predicted model, not a curated record. The transcript has 3 exons. Lineage: Eukaryota; Metazoa; Chordata; Actinopteri; Salmoniformes; Salmonidae.